CCUACGGGGGGCUGCAGUGGGGAAUAUUGGACAAUGGGGGCAACCCUGAUCCAGCCAUGCCGCGUGUGUGAAGAAGGCCCUCGGGUUGUAAAGCACUUUCAGUGAGGAAGAACGCCUGGUGGUUAAUACCCAUCAGGAAAGACAUCACUCACAGAAGAAGCACCGGCUAACUCCGUGCCAGCAGCCGCGGUAAUACGGAGGGUGCGAGCGUUAAUCGGAAUUACUGGGCGUAAAGCGCGCGUAGGUGGCUUGAUAAGCCGGUUGUGAAAGCCCCGGGCUCAACCUGGGAACGGCAUCCGGAACUGUCAAGCUAGAGUGCAGGAGAGGAAGGUAGAAUUCCCGGUGUAGCGGUGAAAUGCGUAGAGAUCGGGAGGAAUACCAGUGGCGAAGGCGGCCUUCUGGACUGACACUGACACUGAGGUGCGAAAGCGUGGGUAGCAAACAGGAUUAGAUACCCGUAGUC
Molecule: ribosomal RNA, 463 nt
Filed under: Vreelandella stevensii
Lineage: Bacteria; Pseudomonadati; Pseudomonadota; Gammaproteobacteria; Oceanospirillales; Halomonadaceae
Description: partial 16S ribosomal RNA
Rfam family: Bacterial small subunit ribosomal RNA
Source: RNAcentral